AAACCUGAACUUGCUACAUCUGUGCUGUUUUUCAGCUGGGCUCUUUCUUCUUCUGUACUUCCAGGCAACUACUGCUCUUCGCUUCUUCAUGAAGGCAUCCUGGAAACAUCCAUUUACAAACACAGAAUUUAAAUCAUCCAAAUGUAAUGUUUUUCAAGUCUCCUGUAUCUAAAACUUUAGAGAUGUUCAAAACCCAUCUGUGGACCACCAGGAAAAAUAACGAUGCCUGCUAGAGUGGAUUCUGUCAAGCUAAACUGAAGCAUCAAAAAAAGAUGGAUGUGCAAAAACAUGAAUGAAGACUUAAGACACAUUUUAAUGUGGACUUGUGUAGAAUAGAAUGUAAUAGACUCAAGACCUGUUGAUUUGCAGCUACAGUGCUGGUUCUACAGCCAUGUGCUGUAGGAUCUUCCAGACUGGUUUCCCUUAAGUUGAUGGAUUCUUGCCAGCUUGUGUAUUGCAAAUUCCUACACCAUAUGGAAGUUGCUUCACCAUUUCAGCCAGUGGAAUUUUGUUUUGGAUGCCUGGGUUUCCUUUGCUUUUCUUAGAUUGUAUAGUUCCUGCUCAUCUGCAGUUGAAUUGAGUGGGAUAGAUAUUUGUUUGUCAACAGGAGCUUCAAAUGAACUUCUGAACUUUUUCCUCUCUUGUUACUCAGCUCAGUUUUUUGGUGCAAUUACAUUGCUACAGUGUAACCAAGAUGUUUGCAUAAUGUUAGAUGGAAAAUGGGAAUUAAACUAUAUA
Long non-coding RNA from Dromaius novaehollandiae (emu), 738 nucleotides. RefSeq lists it as uncharacterized. The record is from RefSeq and is a predicted model, not a curated record. NCBI's taxonomy places the organism in Eukaryota, Metazoa, Chordata, Aves, Casuariiformes, Dromaiidae. The transcript has 4 exons.